RNAcentral lists this microRNA precursor (123 nucleotides) under Paramuricea clavata. Lineage: Eukaryota; Metazoa; Cnidaria; Anthozoa; Malacalcyonacea; Plexauridae. The record is from RNAcentral.
CUAGUUCUUUCGAUAUCAGUGUAAUCUAAUAAUCAUGAUAUUUCAAUGUAAUCUAAUAAUCAUGAUAUUUGCCAACACAGCAAAUAUCAUGAUUAUUAGUUUACACUGAUAUCGAAGGAACUA